UGGUGAAUUUGUGGCCUCAGGCUCCC
This 26-nucleotide non-coding RNA is filed under the name Mus musculus (house mouse). The record is from RNAcentral. Lineage: Eukaryota; Metazoa; Chordata; Mammalia; Rodentia; Muridae.